CCAAAGCGCAGGCUCGGCCUGCCUUAUCCAGUGGGACGGCAAAGGGUCACUCUAAAAAUUGCUGCAGCCGGGUCUUGUCAGGUGGCUGCUGGUGGCUCCCCACCGGAUUUUCCUUCUCCCUCUCUCUAUCUCCACAGAUCCCUUCCCAAGAGGAGUCUCCUGCUAAAACUUCAUCAUCUCAAGUUGACCUGCCACUUCACCCAAGGAGGCCUCAAGUUGCACUCUCUCUUCCUGGAGAUUUCUUAGUCCUUCUAGACUGCAUAUGAAUUUAUCAGGUUCAAGCCUUCCUGGCAUCCAACCUCCUGUAUGUAUUGACCGAAUAUUACCUGCCCAACUGUCUCCCUCAUGACCUCAGCCAUCUCUGAAUGCAUGUGACAGGCUGAGUCACACCUCCUUGCUUCAACUUGAAACAUUUCCUCUACUUCUAAUAACCUUCUCCCUCCUAUACAUGCUGCUAUUUAAGACCCUUCAGUUACCAAGACCCAACAAGAUUCAUGUUAUCUGCAAAACCUCCCAUUCUAACACCACCCCACCACAAUAGUCCUUUUUAUUUGAAUCCUUAAAUCCAGACACACAAUCUGUUCCAUGUACUCUUGUUUUGCUCACCUAACCUAUAACCAAAUGCCCCAAGUUUUCUGAACUUUCGGGGUUAGCCCUACCUAUCAAAAUAAAAAUAAUCUGUUUCUCAGGCUGUGUAUUUGUAUGUAUUUCUUUUCUCUCCCUGGUGUUUUUUAAAAAUCUCAUAGAAAUAUUUACACAUUCCAGAAAUCUUC
RNAcentral lists this long non-coding RNA (773 nucleotides) under Homo sapiens (human). RNAcentral describes it as "HSALNT0334712". The record is from RNAcentral. Lineage: Eukaryota; Metazoa; Chordata; Mammalia; Primates; Hominidae.